Molecule: ribosomal RNA, 301 nt
Filed under: uncultured bacterium
Lineage: Bacteria
Description: partial 16S ribosomal RNA
Rfam family: Bacterial small subunit ribosomal RNA
Source: RNAcentral
CAGUCGCCGCGGUAAUACGUAGGUGGCAAGCGUUGUCCGGAAUUAUUGGGCGUAAAGGGCUCGCAGGCGGUUUCUUAAGUCUGAUGUGAAAGCCCCCGGCUCAACCGGGGAGGGUCAUUGGAAACUGGGAAACUUGAGUGCAGAAGAGGAGAGUGGAAUUCCACGUGUAGCGGUGAAAUGCGUAGAGAUGUGGAGGAACACCAGUGGCGAAGGCGACUCUCUGGUCUGUAACUGACGCUGAGGAGCGAAAGCGCGGGGAGCGAACAGGAUUAGAUACCCGGGUAGUCCCUGUCUCUUAUAC